UACGGGGGGAGCAAGCGUUGUUCGGAUUUACUGGGCGUAAAGGGCGCGUAGGCGGUCUGUUAAGUUCGGUGUGAAAGCCCCCGGCUCACCUGGGGAACUGCGCCGGAAACCGACAGACUCGAGUACCGGAGAGGAGGGUGGAAUUCCUGGUGUAGCGGUGAAAUGCGUAGAUAUCAGGAGGAACACCGGUGGCGAAGGCGGCCCUCUGGACGGAUACUGACGCUGAGGCGCGAAAGCGUGGGGAUCAAACAGG
This 253-nucleotide ribosomal RNA is filed under the name uncultured bacterium. Its description in RNAcentral is "partial 16S ribosomal RNA". It matches the Rfam family "Bacterial small subunit ribosomal RNA", at positions 524 to 776 of the family's 1533-position model. The record is from RNAcentral.